AGUGAACGCUGGCGGUAGGCCUAACACAUGCAAGUCGAACGGCAGCACAGUAAGAGCUUGCUCUUACGGGUGGCGAGUGGCGGACGGGUGAGGAAUACAUCGGAAUCUACUUUUUCGUGGGGGAUAGCGUAGGGAAACUUACGCUAAUACCGCAUACGACCUACGGGUGAAAGCAGGGGAUCUUCGGACCUUUCGCGAUUGAAUGAGCCGAUGUCGGAUUAGCUAGUUGGCGGGGUAAAGGCCCACCAAGGCGACGAUCCGUAGCUGGUCUGAGAGGAUGAUCAGCCACACUGGAACUGAGACACGGUCCAGACUCCUACGGGAGGCAGCAGUGGGGAAUAUUGGACAAUGGGCGCAAGCCUGAUCCAGCCAUACCGCGUGGGUGAAGAAGGCCUUCGGGUUGUAAAGCCCUUUUGUUGGGAAAGAAAAGCAGCAGGUUAAUACCCCGCUGUUCUGACGGUACCAAAAGAAUAAGCACCGGCUAACUUCGUG
Molecule: ribosomal RNA, 492 nt
Filed under: uncultured bacterium
Lineage: Bacteria
Description: partial 16S ribosomal RNA
Rfam family: Bacterial small subunit ribosomal RNA
Source: RNAcentral